GUCUAUGGCCAUACCACCCUGAACGUGCCCGAUCUUGUCUGAUCUCGGAAGCUAAGUAGGGUCAGGCCUGGUUAGUACUUGGAUGGGAGACCGCCUGGGAAUACCAGGUGCUGUAGGCU
RNAcentral lists this ribosomal RNA (119 nucleotides) under Peromyscus maniculatus bairdii (prairie deer mouse). Lineage: Eukaryota; Metazoa; Chordata; Mammalia; Rodentia; Cricetidae. The record is from RNAcentral.